RNAcentral lists this ribosomal RNA (253 nucleotides) under uncultured bacterium. RNAcentral describes it as "partial 16S ribosomal RNA". It matches the Rfam family "Bacterial small subunit ribosomal RNA", at positions 524 to 776 of the family's 1533-position model. The record is from RNAcentral.
UACGUAGGGUGCAAGCGUUAUCCGGAAUUAUUGGGCGUAAAGAGCUCGUAGGCGGUUUGUCGCGUCUGCUGUGAAAACUGGAGGCUCAACCUCCAGCCUGCAGUGGGUACGGGCAGACUAGAGUGCGGUAGGGGAGAUUGGAAUUCCUGGUGUAGCGGUGGAAUGCGCAGAUAUCAGGAGGAACACCGAUGGCGAAGGCAGAUCUCUGGGCAGUAACUGACGCUGAGGAGCGAAAGCAUGGGGAGCGAACAGG